RNAcentral lists this ribosomal RNA (253 nucleotides) under uncultured bacterium. RNAcentral's name for it is "partial 16S ribosomal RNA". It matches the Rfam family "Bacterial small subunit ribosomal RNA", at positions 524 to 776 of the family's 1533-position model. The record is from RNAcentral.
UACGUAGGGUCCGAGCGUUGUCCGGAAUUACUGGGCGUAAAGAGCUCGUAGGUGGUUUGUCGCGUUGUUCGUGAAAACUCACAGCUCAACUGUGGGCGUGCGGGCGAUACGGGCAGACUGGAGUACUGCAGGGGAGACUGGAAUUCCUGGUGUAGCGGUGGAAUGCGCAGAUAUCAGGAGGAACACCGGUGGCGAAGGCGGGUCUCUGGGCAGUAACUGACGCUGAGGAGCGAAAGCGUGGGGAGCGAUCCGG